This 253-nucleotide ribosomal RNA is filed under the name uncultured bacterium. Its description in RNAcentral is "partial 16S ribosomal RNA". It matches the Rfam family "Bacterial small subunit ribosomal RNA", at positions 524 to 776 of the family's 1533-position model. The record is from RNAcentral.
UACGGGGGGGGUAAGCGUUGUUCGGAAUUACUGGGCGUAAAGGGCUCGUAGGCGGCCAACUAAGUCAGACGUGAAAUCCCUCAGCUUAACUGGGGAACUGCGUCUGAUACUGGAUGGCUUGGAUUUGGGAGAGGGAUGCGGAAUUCCAGGUGUAGCGGUGAAAUGCGUAGAUAUCGGGAGGAACACCAGUGGCGAAGGCGGCUCUCUGGGCAGAAACUGACGCUGAGAUGCGAAAGCGUGGGGAGCAAACAGG